GAUGAACGCUGGCGGCGUGCUUAAUACAUGCAAGUCGAGCGAACAGACGAGGAGCUUGCUCCUCUGACGUUAGCGGCGGACGGGUGAGUAACACGUGGAUAUCCUACCUAUAAGACUGGGAUAACUUCGGGAAACCGGAGCUAAUACCGGAUAAUAUAUUGAACCGCAUGGUUCAAUAGUGAAAGACGGUUUUGCUGUCACUUAUAGAUGGAUCCGCGCCGCAUUAGCUAGUUGGUAAGGUAACGGCUUACCAAGGCAACGAUGCGUAGCCGACCUGAGAGGGUGAUCGGCCACACUGGAACUGAGACACGGUCCAGACUCCUACGGGAGGCAGCAGUAGGGAAUCUUCCGCAAUGGGCGAAAGCUUGACGGAGCAACGCCGCGUGAGUGAUGAAGGUCUUCGGAUCGUAAAACUCUGUUAUUAGGGAAGAACAAAUGUGUAAGUAACUAUGCACGUCUUGACGGUACCUAAUCAGAAAGCCACGGCUAACUACGUG
Molecule: ribosomal RNA, 497 nt
Filed under: uncultured bacterium
Lineage: Bacteria
Description: partial 16S ribosomal RNA
Rfam family: Bacterial small subunit ribosomal RNA
Source: RNAcentral